GUGAGCAGCGAACGAUGCUUUGACGAGAGCCACCUUCUUCAGGAUGAAAGGAUGUAGCCCCCAGCUGCUGGAAGUGACACCCCUCCACUGGCAGCCUGCUUGGAAUUGGUUCAACUUCUGAGAGUUGCCUUUCCCACAGUCAAGACCCCUUCCCAGAGCAACUGUCCUUCAAUGACUGUUCACCAUGGUGGUAAAAAGGCCUUCCCUGUAACUUGGGACAAGUCUCAAGAGCCAGUUCAGCUUUGGAGCUUCCUGUGAGGUAGCUGAGGCCUUCAUCAUGGCCAGAUUCUCCCUCCAUGCAAUCCUGCUUCCUUUCUUUCCCCCCUUCCCACGGGUACUGAUCCCAAAAGUUCUCCCUCAUAAGGCUUUUGCCUGCCCAUCUCCAUCUCCUCUUUCAACAUUUUCUGGGUGGGAUAGCUUUACCCAAAGACACACAAUCUCACUCUUUAACCUGAGGUCAACUGUAAAGACCUCCCUAUCCAAAAAGAAUUCCUAAGGGAUGCUUAAAUUUCCAUCAUCAGCCAUUUUUUUCUUUGGAGAUUGGAUCUUGGGUCACCUUCCAAGGAACCUAACCUUUGACAGUUGACCCAAGGAAAGAUCUGAGAAAGCAAAUGCCAAGGUGGGACUUUGGAGCUGGAUCACCUGCCAUCUGGUUGGCAGAACUGCACUGUUGGUGGAAGGGGAGCACACACGGCACAAGUGUUGACAUAGAUGAAUAUUCAGUGUCAAGAAGAAUGUGUCACCCAAAGAGUGAAAACAGAGUCCAUGUGGAAUCCACUAGGAAUGGACUUUGGGUCUCAUGGAACAUCCCCUAUAGCUGUUCGAAAGAGCAAGGGAAGAGUCAACUGAUCUCAAGGGUGACAGAGGGAAAGCAGGUAGGGCCAAAGACCCUUGGAAUGCCAUCCAUAUUCACACCCUUGGAGCUCCCCAUACAAUCCCCUUACCUGUUUGUUUGCCUGUUUAAGAUUUUAUUUAUUUAUUUGACAGAGUGA
RNAcentral lists this long non-coding RNA (992 nucleotides) under Canis lupus familiaris (dog). Its description in RNAcentral is "lncRNA (ENSCAFG00030010916.1)". The record is from RNAcentral. Lineage: Eukaryota; Metazoa; Chordata; Mammalia; Carnivora; Canidae.